AUCAUCGGUCGAAUCGAACCCUUACUUCGUUUUUUUUUCAAGGGUUCAAUAAAACUAGGGGUGUUGGUAAUGUACAACAAUGUCCUAUCUUCUUCCCCUAAUUAAAUUUUUCAGAGAACUGAAUCACUGCUGAUAAUUAAAUUUUUCCUAACAUGUUCUUCGUUUCUCGAUUAUCGUCUAAAAUACCUGAUGUUGAUAUCGAGGGUUCUGAUUCGUUUUUAUUUUGAAUUAUUAAGGGCUCUAACAAGAUUCCUAAGAUUAUUGCAGUUUAGGGUUUUAGUUAGUAGAUAGUAAGAUUCGUAAGAUUUUGCAUCUCUAUUGUUAAUUGAGAUUUGAAUUAGGUUAGUAGAUACAGUGAGAACUAGAUUAAUUGGUUACAACUUUCAUGUCCAUUGUUUGUAAAUUUGGUUUUAUAUUGAUUGUGCGUAUUUUUGGGUUUAGGUUUAAUUACUGGAAGAAGAAGUUGAAGCAUGAUGAUUUAUUUAGACGGUGUAUUAGUGGAUAAGUUGCAAAGAAAAUCUAACCCCUAAUCAUUUUGCCUCUUUCCUUCUGUUUUUUAAUUUUCCUCUUUAUUCUCAUGAGUUUGGUUUUAGAUCAGUUUAUUGCAUCAACGAAGAGUUCACAUGAAAAACUACGAAGGAAAUUGAAUGGGGGUUGUAUUUAUUGUUGUCUUAGUGAUAUUGUGGUCUCUUCCAGCAGGUCAGUUGUUAAUGAAGAUUUUAGAUCAGCUGAUUCUGAUGAAUUUUGUGGUCUUUUAGAUGAUGAGGAGGACACGUAGCUAUACAUAGCAUCGUAAACAAGAAAAUAAUCUACACUUAUAUGUUCGUCAUUAUCUUAGUAAAUGGAUAUUGAAUUUCCAAUGUGUGAAGCAAUGCAUUGGAUCAACGAGAGGAUCUCCGACUAAUCCAAGGAGAAUCUGACCUUUGCAAAAUGUUUCCGCGAAGGAAAACUAAUACUCCUUGCACUGCGAGAGCCUCCUCAGGAACUGAUGGAUUUACUUGACAGAUACGAAGCCAAGUCAAGGUUUUCUAGAGAUCACAUCCGAGAGUACAGAGUACAAAGCUUCGAUUGGUUUUACCAUCCUUGGUUGCACAUUGGAUAAGAGAGUUUUGAGGGGUAACGACCCAAAAUCCAUUGAAAUUCACGGUGAGCUUAUGUCCAACACGAGAAAGUUACUAGCCGACGAGGGCACAAGAGAUUCUGAGUAAUGUCUAUACCGCUGAACAAAAUGUCAAAUUCAUCAUGCACUAUAAGGAAACUACAGAAGAAAGGCAUUAGAACCUGCCCACGGUUGUCGAAGUUUCAGUUAUACUACCUGGAGACUGUUCUCAAAAGCCUAACUUCAAGGAUAUUAUGCUUCAUCAAAGGGGGAAAAAUGGAUUCAAAUGUAUUUCAAAGUGUCACCCUGCAUACUUUCCCAUGCAUUACGUUUAAUUCUUUCCGUA
Papaver somniferum (opium poppy) is the source of this 1445-nucleotide long non-coding RNA. RefSeq lists it as uncharacterized. The transcript is spliced from 3 exons. The record is from RefSeq and is a predicted model, not a curated record. NCBI's taxonomy places the organism in Eukaryota, Viridiplantae, Streptophyta, Magnoliopsida, Ranunculales, Papaveraceae.